AGCAGCGUGGCUCAAUGGAAAGAGCCCGGGCUUGGGAGUCAGGGUCCGGGGUUCGAAUCCCGGCUCUGCCA
This 71-nucleotide transfer RNA is filed under the name Ornithorhynchus anatinus (platypus). It matches the Rfam family "tRNA". Rfam says of the family: Transfer RNA (tRNA) molecules are approximately 80 nucleotides in length. Their secondary structure includes four short double-helical elements and three loops (D, anti-codon, and T loops). Further hydrogen bonds mediate the characteristic L-shaped molecular structure. tRNAs have two regions of fundamental functional importance: the anti-codon, which is responsible for specific mRNA codon recognition, and the 3' end, to which the tRNAs corresponding amino acid is attached (by aminoacyl-tRNA synthetases). tRNAs cope with the degeneracy of the genetic code in two manners: having more than one tRNA (with a specific anti-codon) for a particular amino acid; and 'wobble' base-pairing, i.e. permitting non-standard base-pairing at the 3rd anti-codon position. Lineage: Eukaryota; Metazoa; Chordata; Mammalia; Monotremata; Ornithorhynchidae. The record is from Rfam by way of RNAcentral.